Non-coding RNA from Oncorhynchus mykiss (rainbow trout), 1377 nucleotides. The record is from RefSeq and is a predicted model, not a curated record. Lineage: Eukaryota; Metazoa; Chordata; Actinopteri; Salmoniformes; Salmonidae.
UCGUUUAGCAAUCGAAAAAAACUGUAAUAUCAGAACAUCAGACAUGUUGACACGUUGUAGUGGUUUAAUAUCAGAACAUCAGAACCUAGGCUGUUUAUGUUAUGUGGGGAGACAUUGCCUUGUGUGUGUGUGUGUGUGUGUGUGAAGGGAGAUCGACUUUAAAAUUGGACGUCUAUCCAUGUCCAGAGGAGAAAUACCUUAAAAACCAGGCACUAUGGGCAGUGAGGACUAUUACCAUCAGCUGGACGGGAAUAACUCUGGGUUUUGCUAGGUGAGGUUGAAGGGCAUAACUCCGCAUCAGAAGGUUGGGUUUUGCUAGGGGAGGUUGAAGGGCAUAACUCUGCAUCAGAAGGUUGGGUUUGCUAGGUGAGGUUGAAGGGCAUAACUCCGCAUCAGAAGGUUGGGUUUUGCUAGGGGAGGUUGAAGGGCAUAACUCCGCAUCAGAAGGUUGGGUUUUGCUAGGGGAGGUUGAAGGGCAUAACUCCGCAUCAGAAGGUUGGGUUUUGCUAGGGGAGGUUGAAGGGCAUAACUCUGCAUCAGAAGGUUGGGUUUUGCUAGGGGAGGUUGAAGGGCAUAACUCUGCAUCAGAAGGUUGGGUAUUUGAUCCCAGUAUUUUAAUUUAUUUAUACUGAACACAAAUAUAAAUGCAACAUGCAUCAAUGUCAAAUAUUUGACUGAGUUACAGUUCAUAGAAGGAAAUCAGUCAAUUGAAAUAAAUUAAGUCCAAAUCAAUGGAUUUCACAUGACUGGGCAGAGGCGCAACAAUGAGUGGGCCUGGGAGGGCAUAGGCCCACCCACUUGGGAGCCAGGUCCACCCACUGGGGAGGCAUUCCCAGCCAAUCAGAAUGUUUUUUUUCCCAACAAAAGGGUUUUAUUACACACAGAAAUACUCCUGAGCACCCCCUCCCCAUCCUCAGAUGAUCCCUCAGGUGAAGAAGCCGGAUGUGGAGGUCCUGAACUGGCGUGGUUACACAUGUACUGAGGUUAUGAGGCCGGUGGAAUGUACUGCAAAAAUCUCUAAAAUUAUGUUGCUUAUGGUAUAGAAAUUCACAUUCAAUCCUCUGACAACAGAUCUGGUGGACAUUCCUGCAGUCAGCAUUGUAUUGUGUAACAAAACUGCACAUUUGUGAAAUAAAUGUGAGAGAAAUCAGCUUUUUUGUGCUUAUCGAACAUUUCUAUGAUUUUUUAUUUCAGCUCAUGAAAGAUUGGACCAACACUUUCCAUGUUGCGUUAAUUUUGUUCAGUAUAUGUAUUUUUUUACCCUAUCCCAAACUCUUAAUUUAUUUGACAUUUGGUGAAACUGAACGAUGCUGAGCACCCAGGGUGUCAAAAACACUUUGAAGUUUAACGUUUGGAGAACGUGGAUACAAGUCUAAU